GCUGGUCCCUCCCGGUGGGCCCAUUGCUUACUCUACUUGGGCUGCCAUGCAAACUUUCACUGUUGGCGAUGUCCUUGGUAUGUGAACAAGUCUUGCUCUUUUUUGUUUUCUGUUUGAGUGAAGAGAAAGAAGAUCAGAAAUGAAAAUUUAAAAUCCUUGUUACAAAAAAAGAUGGCGUUUCAUUUUAAGAGAUUUCAAGCUUUUGUAACCUGAACUUGGGUCUUAUGAAGCAAGUUUUGCUUGUAUUUUCAGUUUUCAACUUCACUACUGGAGAGCAAGAUGUGGCCAUGGUCACCAGGGAAGCCUAUGAAACGUGCAACUCAACGAAUCCCAUUUCCCUUAAAACAAC
Molecule: long non-coding RNA, 349 nt
Filed under: Theobroma cacao (cacao)
Lineage: Eukaryota; Viridiplantae; Streptophyta; Magnoliopsida; Malvales; Malvaceae
Description: long non-coding RNA (TCAC_LNC005147)
Source: RNAcentral